This 498-nucleotide ribosomal RNA is filed under the name Triticum aestivum (bread wheat). RNAcentral's name for it is "partial small subunit ribosomal RNA". Lineage: Eukaryota; Viridiplantae; Streptophyta; Magnoliopsida; Poales; Poaceae. The record is from RNAcentral.
AUGGAGUACUCGCCAAAGCUAGCGGCGGCACUGCUCUUAGCUCUCGCGUCCGCCAUGAUCGUCACCGCCCAGAACGGGGCCGAUGACAUGCUGAACGCCCACAAUGAAGUGCGCGCCGCCGUCGGUGUGGGGCCAGUGACGUGGGACCCCAUAGUGGCGGCGUACGCGCAGUCGUACGCGGAGAAGCGCCGCGCCGACUGCCAGCUACUACUCUCUCCGGAGGUGCGCCCAUACGGAGAGAACCUUUUUCGGGCCGCUGGGGCCGAAUGGAAUGCGGUGGACGCAGUGAUUUAUUGGGCGUCCGGGAAGCAGUACUACGACCACGCCACCAACACCUGCUCCGCACCUACGGGUGAGUCGUGCAUGGGAUACCUACAGUUGGUGUGGAGGGACACCAAGACCAUCGGCUGCGGCGCUGUCCUCUGUGACGGCAACGCUGGCGUGUUUGUCAUCUGCAGCUACAGCCCGCCCCCCGUGCUCGGGCAGAUUCCAUACUAG